AGCGUGAGCCAUUUAGCAAAGAAGAAGUGGAAGUCAGGGAGGCUACAUAAAAAUGCACAUCGACCUAUUAAAUAUCCAUGAAUCAUUUACUUUAAACCCCACAAUCAUCCGCUCUUUUGUCGUUGUCAGUCACAUAAAACCUCAAGGUUCCCGACAUCUCGCUAUAUCACCAAAGAGCUGAAAUCUCAUGACACCAGGCAUAUCCUUCCCCUGAGUCACAUGAAUAGCUUCAUUGUGCAACGGCCUCCCUCCGAUCAGACUUCCCGUUGGCUUUUCGUUCAGCCGGCCUUAAGACAGUCCAGCUGCUGUGGCACCUCGUUGGAGCAAAUUAGAGGCAAACUGGUGGGAAGUGACUACUGCUUACAAACAUCUGCCCUGGAAGUCUGAGGAAGGAUCUGGGAGAGAUUUGUCCGAGCGUGAGGAAAAGCAGCCGCUCAGUUCCUCCAGAACCUUGUCUGUGCUGAAGACCAGGAUGGCGAGUUGUGGCUCGUGUUUCUGGUGCAUCAUUUGGCUGGUGGUACUGCUGUUCAUUGGCUGGCCAAUCAGCAUCACCUUAGGCGGUCUCUAUGGUCUCAUCAGCCCCCUCACCACCUGCCUCGGCCUUGAUCGACUUUCUGACUUACUGCUGGAGGGGGCCAACGUAGGCCGGACCUGUGCCAACAACAUGAGGCAUUGCAAGCCUUUGUGCUGAGAGUCACCCUGAGUGAUCAGGACCUGAUCACACAGGGGGAUCACACAGGGGGUCACUCCUGUUCUGUAGCGACAAAGCUUCUUCACAGAGAUAGGAGCCGAUGGUGUCUGUUUUAUUUUUGUAACGAGUGGCAUUUGACAAUCUGGCAUUCUGUCUUGUAACCUCUGCGACCAAAAAAGUUUGAACGCUGGUUUCCACCUCUGCUGUUAACACCUAAUUAACCUCGGAUUUCAGUUUGGUGCGCAAGAAAAUAGGCUUUGCAUUCAUGGUCCAAGCUCUCUGUAUAAUUCACGGUGACGCUGCAUGCGGAAGAUAAGAAUGAAAAUGGCAUUUUAACAAUAGAACUGUUUAGACUUGUAAAGCACUGCACUGAAACCUAGAAUGCGAUUAAAACUGCUUUAAGCUCGUCCUCUGUGGUUGCUGAUUGACUCGUACUGUGUGCUGUUUAAUUAGGAAGCAAACAGAAAAAGAAUGUGACAGUUUUAAUUCUUAUAACACACAUGCUGUGUUUAAAUAAUUAAUUUAUUCAAUUCAGUUCCAAUACUAGAAUACUUUACUAAUCGAGAAGGAAAAUCAUAGUUCUUGUAACAUUGUUUUUAUAGAUAGAUGCCUGUAGGUAGUGAGAAUCUUCUCUAGUGAUCAGUACUACAUCAAUUCUUAAAAAAGCCUCUGACUGAAAACCCCUUGUUGUUACAUCACGGCCUCAUAAAGAACAUACUCGGGGUUGACGUAAUGUUCAUUUCAUGAAGAAUUCAUCUCUGCGCAAUUAUCUCCAGAGGUUCUACAGCCGUCCUCCGAACAGAGCAAUUCUUCUUUAUCAGCUUGUUGAGCUUUUUGAGGUCACUGGCUCUGAUGCUGCUACCGCAACAGAUGAUGAUAGAGGAGAUGACACCAUCCACAACAGUCUAAUAGAUCUGCAGCAUCUUACUGAAAACACUGAAGGAUCUAACCUUCUGGAAGAUCACUGCAGUCUGCUCUUCCCCUACUGCUACAGCAGCAGCACCAAAAUAAAACGUUUUUAAGACCACUGAGGGAAAAGAAGUCUAACUCUGCUUUGCGUAUAUAUGAGUUGAUGGCAUGCUAUACAUCCAAAUAUCUAACCAAGAAUCAAGCUGAUCAGAUGGCACUACAAGACUCCCAUUUUCACAUAGAUUAUAGGUGUUAGGUGUUUGUGCCAGACUUUGACCCUGAUGACCCCAUGAUGGAUGCUAAGGUGACAGCCAACGACAGAAUGGUUUCAUAUUGCAUAUGUGACAGUUGCAAAAUUACCGAAUGCUGUAUUCUUAAUUAAUUUAAAGGCUCAACAUAAAUCCUGAAAACCUUUUUCUCUUUCUGACUGCAUUGCAGAGUGAUACGAUUUCUUCUGUCACUUCCUCCCUCUGAUGUAGACUAAAUGGUGGCGAUGGUAGAAGCUGCACUGAAAUAUCACCGUCUGCCUUAUCGGGUUCUUUGCUGGUGAAGGUCCAGCAAUGAACCACAUACACCGACACAGAUGUCUGACAUGAGCUGCAAAGUGGCUCUUCUAACAUUCAGAAGCACAAACAAAGUCGCUGAAAUCUCACUAACACAAAGGGGGAGAAAGCUAUUAAACUUGAAGAGUAAACUGAAGACUUUCCAGUAAAAUUUCAAAGGGCAAGCUAUAGAGUUGGGACCCAAACGGGAUAUCUUUCAAAGCACACACACAUCAUAACAUCUUUUAAUGUUAUUUUAGGAAUUAACUAAUUCAUGCUCAGUCCAUGGCUAAUGGUUUGGUUCACAUAUCCCAGCUUCCAUCUUUUAAGGGGAAACUUCUUGAAAGCAAACUGAGUGCUUCCAAUAAAACGAAAGCUUGAAAGCAGUUAAAAGUUCUUGGGCUUUUGGGACUAAAGUUUUGACAGUCUGGGUUCUUCUAAGUAACCCAGACGUUACAGUUCCUCGGAACUGUAACGUCAAUUAAUCCUCCGUCUGCUUCCGUCUGUCUCCUGUUUCUGCGUGUUCACAUUCAUCCAGUCUUAAGUUCUCACAAAAAAUAUUAUAUGCGAGUUAUUGUAGUGGGCGGGAGGGUGGCGACGGACGGUCGGAUGGACGGACGGAUUGAUCGAUUUGCUUGGUAGAUUUUUUAUUUAUUUAUUUAUUUAUUUAUUUAUUUAUUUGCUACAGAAUUGAGUUUAUGAACAUGUUUAGACACCACCAAAAUUCUUCAUCACUUAGCAAUGCAGAUUCCUGUAUUGAUAUUGCAAAAAGAAAUAUUAACAUGGCUACCGCUAAUAUGUUGUUCCUAAUUGCAUCAGCAACAUGUUAGCCAUUUCCUUGAUUGAAAGAGCUUCUUUAAAGUAAAGUUGGAAAUGCUUUACUGAUCUGUUUUCUUAUUGAUAUCAGCUCAUGUGUGUGAUGCUGACUGACUUUCAGAACAGCUUUCCUGAAGCCAAGAAAGCUGCAAAAUUGCCUCAGCAAUAUCAUGAGAAUUACAGAUUUUCUUUUUUUCUUCUGCUGCAGAGGCUCACUCAAACACACUGACAGUAUUGCUGCACAUAUUAGAGCAAAAGUCUGUUUAACUGUAUUUGUCAAGGCGAGGUGUGAGGGUACUUUGCUUAACAACUUAGAAGCUGUCUUAAUAUUUUGACUGGCAUCACCACAGCCUGAGUCAGGACCAAAAUAGCUCCGGAUACCGUCCUCAGAAACCCCCAUAAAUACUCUCUCAAAUAAUCUUACUGAGCUGCCUACCUGCAAAUCUGCCAGUGUUGUAGCUUAUUCAAAUGUACCCACAUGAAUAUUUCAUUUUCAUUUCAAACUGCUUUUCAUCAUAAUUUCAGAUUCCUUAUUGUUGACUGAAACACAGCGUCAGAACCUCACUCUUACUUCAAAAUGCAUGCUGAGAUGAAUUUACUAUAAAAAAAAUAAAUAAAAGGAGGUGAAGACCCUAGUGUGUGUUGUAAUAUUUACAGAAGUGCCAUGUGAGACCUAAUUAGAUAGCAUUUUUAUAUACUACCCGGAUUUGCUCCUAAAUAUCCUGAAGUGAGAACCCCGCUCGCCAGAAAAAGUAAAAAAAAAAAAAGAAUAAAAUAAAAUAGCCCAGUUUUUAAACUACUUUGUCUGUUUUUCCUCCCAAAAGCCUUUGCAGAGGGCACAGGAGGGAGGCCUUCGAGCCAAGAUGACAGCACCGAACUGAGAGAAUUAAAGAGAGGCAAGCUGGUAAAUUUUUCAUCAAAGUCUGAAACUGACCAUGAAAAAGGUUUGACGCUGUCCUGGCUGCGAGGAGACCUCAGAGGCAGAGCGAAGGAACGACAAGAGUAGAUCUCCCCUUUCAAUUAGCCACAUGCUGCUCAGAAACCUCACCCCAUUACAUUCACAAGCCAUCGCCAAAGAGUUUGGAGCAACACAAGUGUCACGAAGCUGGACAAGCCUGAACUCCUCUGGGUAUUGGAUUGUUGGAAGGUGAAAAAAAAGAAAAGAAAAAAAGGUAUUGGACUGGGAGUAGGAGUGGUCUUUUUCCUGAAAUGUAUCUAUUUCAUAAUUCCACACGGCAUAUCUAGGAGGGACUUAAUACAAAAUGCAUGCUGCACUUUUCAGAUUUUUAGUUUGUAUGCUUUUCCUCUCGCCGUACAGUUGUUUCUGCCACGUAAUCCCAAUAAAAUACUUUAAAAACUGUGUCUGCAAUGUGACAUCUCAUCUAAAACCAGCUCUCCUUUACUCAUGUGGACAACAAAAAAAUGUGUGUGGCAUAUCUGAAUGAGCAUCAAAACAUAAACACCAUGCAUUCAUUUGAAAACGAACCUCGCUUUCCCUGCAGUUAGCGAUAGCAUUGCUGUACACGUCAAUGUUUGCGGAGCGAUGUGAGCCUCGUACUCCUUUGAGGUACCUCAUGCAAGACUUUAGGAAAAACCAACAGCUUGUCACUCAUUAUUUAUUGUAGCAACAAGAACAAGGGAGCCCAGUUUCCACAGAGCGUGUUCCAUGCCUUCCAUCUGCUCUGACCUUUAAAUGCCCCCAAACCAUCACAAAUGAAGCAGACAAGUUGAAAUAAUCAUAAUAAAAAAUAAAAAAAAAGAAAAUCCUUACAGAACAUUAGUAUUGAGUGAGUUUUUGAUGGACAACGUAAAUGCCACCGUCUGGUACAGGCACAUUCCAAUAUGUCUGCAUGUUAUUGACUGGAGCACAAAGCCUUGCAAAUGACUUCCCCUCGGGGUUCUUGGAAUGGCUUUUUUUUCCCUCUGAUUAAGACGCGAAAUUCCCAUAGACAAUCAAUAUGCUUUUUGUUUUCGACAGUUUGUUCCUUAUUAUCUCAUCUCCUCUGCUGAGUAAUGAAGCUGAUCUCCCGAGGGCUCGUGAGUGGUAGAGCGAUUGUGCCACAGUGAUUUAAUCUCGGUAGCAAACGAUAGAGUGAAAGUCACACUACGAGACGAUCUGAGCAACCCUCUAGAAACCUCUGAGCUCAACACAGGCAGUUUCACACCUCUGUUGUCCACUGGGAACAGAAAGACAUUUUCUGACAAUAUGCCCUUUUUGUUUUCUUGUGUCUGUUAUUGUUUUUAUUGUGCAAUUUGAAUGUUAAAAUCUGCAGAAAAUGCCAAAUCAAUUGUCCUUUUUAGCUUUCACAAUAAACACAAUAACAAGUUAAAAGACAGUUUCUCUCCAUACGUAGCCCUACAUGAUCUAUGGU
Poecilia latipinna (sailfin molly) is the source of this 5330-nucleotide long non-coding RNA. RefSeq lists it as uncharacterized. The transcript has 3 exons. Lineage: Eukaryota; Metazoa; Chordata; Actinopteri; Cyprinodontiformes; Poeciliidae. The record is from RefSeq and is a predicted model, not a curated record.